This 379-nucleotide ribosomal RNA is filed under the name uncultured marine eukaryote. RNAcentral describes it as "SSU rRNA". It matches the Rfam family "Eukaryotic small subunit ribosomal RNA", at positions 619 to 1009 of the family's 1831-position model. The record is from RNAcentral.
UUAAAAAGCUCGUAGUUGGAUUUCUGGGAGGGUGCCAAUGUCCGCCGACGUGCGUGCGCAGCGGCGCCCUUCCAUCCUUCUGUUAACGCCUCUUGGCAUUCAUUUGCUGGUGGCGGGCUCAGAUAUUUUACCUUGAGAAAAUUAGAGUGUUUCAGGCAGGCUAGGCCGGAAUACAUUAGCAUGGAAUAAUGGAAUAGGACUACGGUCUCUUUGUUGGUUUGAGGGACUGCAGUAAUGAUUAAUAGGGAUAGUUGGGGGCAUUAGUAUUUAAUUGUCAGAGGUGGAAUUCUCGGAUUUGUUAAAGACUAACUUAUGCGAAAGCAUUUGCCAAGGAUGUUUUCAUUAAUCAAGAACGAAAGUUAGGGGAUCAAAGACGAUC